RNAcentral lists this ribosomal RNA (253 nucleotides) under uncultured bacterium. RNAcentral's name for it is "partial 16S ribosomal RNA". It matches the Rfam family "Bacterial small subunit ribosomal RNA", at positions 524 to 776 of the family's 1533-position model. The record is from RNAcentral.
UACGUAGGUGGCAAGCGUUGUCCGGAUUUACUGGGCGUAAAGGGCGUGCAGGCGGUCUGUUAAGUCUAGGGUGAAAGCUCCCGGCUCAACUGGGAGAGGUCCUUGGAUACUGGCGGACUUGAGGGAUGCAGAGGAAAGUGGAAUUCCCGGUGUAGUGGUGAUAUGCGUAGAUAUCGGGAGGAACACCAGUGGCGAAGGCGGCUUUCUGGGCAUUGCCUGACGCUGAGACGCGAAAGCGUGGGGAGCGAACCGG